UACACUCCUACGGGAGGCAGCAGUGGGGAAUUUUGGACAAUGGGCGAAAGCCUGAUCCAGCAAUGCCGCGUGUGUGAAGAAGGCCUUCGGGUUGUAAAGCACUUUUGUCCGGAAAGAAAUCCUUGGCUCUAAUACAGUCGGGGGAUGACGGUACCGGAAGAAUAAGCACCGGCUAACUACGUGCCAGCAGCCGCGGUAAUACGUAGGGUGCGAGCGUUAAUCGGAAUUACUGGGCGUAAAGCGUGCGCAGGCGGUUUGCUAAGACCGAUGUGAAAUCCCCGGGCUCAACCUGGGAACUGCAUUGGUGACUGGCAGGCUAGAGUAUGGCAGAGGGGGGUAGAAUUCCACGUGUAGCAGUGAAAUGCGUAGAGAUGUGGAGGAAUACCGAUGGCGAAGGCAGCCCCCUGGGCCAAUACUGACGCUCAUGCACGAAAGCGUGGGGAGCAAACAGGAUUAGAUACCCCAGUAGUCCCAUGAU
This 478-nucleotide ribosomal RNA is filed under the name uncultured organism. RNAcentral's name for it is "partial 16S ribosomal RNA". It matches the Rfam family "Bacterial small subunit ribosomal RNA", at positions 332 to 801 of the family's 1533-position model. The record is from RNAcentral.